Molecule: ribosomal RNA, 720 nt
Filed under: Ramaria rubella f. rubella
Lineage: Eukaryota; Fungi; Basidiomycota; Agaricomycetes; Gomphales; Gomphaceae
Description: eukaryotic LSU rRNA
Rfam family: 5.8S ribosomal RNA (bases 281-435)
Source: RNAcentral
UAGAGGAAGUAAAAGUCGUAACAAGGUUUCCGUAGGUGAACCUGCGGAAGGAUCAUUACAGUAUUCCACAGGGCGCUGCUGCUGGCUCUUAAACCGAGCAUGUGCGCGCGCCCCUCGUCCACACAAACACCUGUGCACCUGGGGAACCCCUCCCAUUGAGAGCCGUCUCGUGUAACCCUUCUUCGGAGGGGGGGCGAGGCCGAGGGGAGCCCUCGUCAUUUACAACACCAUCCCAAGUCUUUAACGCAUGUCAUUGGCCCCACGGGGUGACAGUUAAUACAACUUUCAACAACGGAUCUCUUGGCUUUCGCAUCGAUGAAGAACGCCGCGAAAGUGCGAAACGUAAUGUGAAUUGCAGAAUUCAGUGAAUCAUCGAAUCUUUGAACGCAUCUUGCGCUCCUUGGUAUUCCGAGGAGCAUGCCUGUUUGAGUGUCGUGAAACACAUCAAACCUUUCGCGCCUUUGCGUGCUCGGUUUGGACUUGGACGCCUGCGGUGUUGGGGGGUGUGUGCCCUCCUUCUCCGCUCGUCUUGAAAUGCAUCAGCUGGUCUCCGCCGCCUUGGACGGUUUCAAACGGUGUGAUAAGAAACGCUUACGUGUCUGCAAGCGCCGUUGAAGCCCGUCUGCAGGGGGGACCGCUUCCAGUCGUCUUUCGAGACAAUUCACUUCAUCUGACCUCAAAUCAGGUAGGACUACCCGCUGAACUUAAGCAUAUCAAUAA